UACGUAGGUGGCAAGCGUUGUCCGGAUUUAUUGGGUUUAAAGGGUGCGUAGGCGGUCUUCUAAGUCAGUUGUGAAAUACUUCAGCUUAACUGGAGAGGUGCAAUUGAUACUGGAAGACUUGAGUACUGAUGGAGGUAGGCGGAAUGGACGGUGUAGCAGUGAAAUGCGUAGAUAUGCGGAGGAACACCGAUGGCGAAGGCAAUCCCCUGGACCUGUACUGACGCUCCAUGCACGAAAGCGUGGGGAGCAAACAGG
This 255-nucleotide ribosomal RNA is filed under the name uncultured bacterium. RNAcentral describes it as "partial 16S ribosomal RNA". It matches the Rfam family "Bacterial small subunit ribosomal RNA", at positions 524 to 776 of the family's 1533-position model. The record is from RNAcentral.